This 2037-nucleotide long non-coding RNA is filed under the name Suricata suricatta (meerkat). Its description in RNAcentral is "lncRNA (ENSSSUG00005013084.1)". Lineage: Eukaryota; Metazoa; Chordata; Mammalia; Carnivora; Herpestidae. The record is from RNAcentral.
AUGGGGCUCAAAGACCAGCACGGGUCAGGCCCCAUGUGCAGAUGGGUGGUGACUUCGGGCUCGGGCCACACACACACACACACACACACACACGCACGAGGUGAGCCCCAGCCCCGUGCCCCACAGGCCUCGGGGCCCCGCGACAGCAUGGGGCCGGGGCGGGUGAGCCAGGUCCAGCAGCAGUGCCAUGUGGCACGGGAACUCGACCACCCGGCCGUGCUGGAGGGAAUCACGAGGCCGUGUGACCGCAGGAAUUCCAGGCUGGUGCUGGGAGAGGUUUCGUGGUAUGAAAACACCGUCUCCACCUUGUCUCUAGAAAAUGCCGAAACAAGCCCCCUAAGAGACCUCACCGCUCACAACGAGGCCGGAACCACGGGGACACAGCGGCAGCAGAGGGCUGACAGGGACAGCACACGGGGGGGGGUGCUGUCAGGACAUCCCCAGGGAUGGAAUGCGUCUAUGCUCCAGUCCUCUCUGGUCACUCCCCUAAGAACCUCGGGGAUGCCCUCCUCACAAGAGUGGCUGGCCUGCACUGACCCACAGGACAGGCAUCCACUGCUCCAUGUGACUCAGUGUCCGCAGUGCUGGAGGCCAGUUACUGCUGAGCACUCUUCUGUGUGUGUGUUUAUACAAACGAAAUCUCUGUUCUUGACGGAGGCACCGGGUCUUGGAAAGGGGAAACCAGGUGGGAAAAGGGGAUGUGGCCACCUCCCAUCUGCAACCUAAUUCUCCAGCCCGUCCAAGUGGGAGCUGGGUGAGGAUUUCACCCCUGACUACUCCAUUCGGACUACCCCGAAGAAAGCCAGUCCCGUUCCGCUCUGGGGUGACAAGUGGCUCCCCUCCCCCAACCAGAGGUUAAUCUGUCCUAAACAGGCACCGGGAAAAUCAUCACCGUAAAGGCCUCUGGCCGCUGGCCAGGUUCCCAGCUUCUCAAGAGGCUGCCAGCUUCAAGGCUGUCCUUCCGGGCAUGCCCAGAGGUGGUGCCCUCAUUUCUCCGCACGCAGGCAGAGGGCUGGGCAGGGCACCCAGCCACAGAAAGAUCUAGCCUCCAACUCUUGGCUCAGGUGUGGCUGCAGUCUCCCUCCCACAGGCCUCAGGGAGCCACUGCCCCCAACGCAUAGCUGAGCGGAGAAGAAGGGGCAGCUCCCUGGCCCACCCAAGCUGGCCCCUCCCCAGCUGCACCCACCCCAGAGGAGACCCCAGGCCCUUCAGGCUGGAAGUUGACCGGGAACUGCAAGAUGGCCCCCUAAACAUGGGCUCAAAGUGGGGCACCAGGCACUGACAUGGCGACCAAACCGGCGCACCUCCCCCGGCCCCCCUCCCCCGUUCAGGAGUGUCCUCAAGCUGGCUUGCUCCCCUACAGCCCCAGAAUCAGGGGCCCCAGUGUUGUCUCGAGCACCUGCCAGGGUCCUGAUUUCUGACCCCUUUCAAAACGCAAAGGGGAAAAGAAGUGACUUUGACAAACUGAAUGGGGUCCACACCGCUUGACUUACUAUGGUGGAACAGACUAGCUCCGAGGAGUGAGUGCAGCCUGCAGUCUGCUCGGUGGGGGAUGCUUGUCCCCAGGCUGCUGGCUGAGGGCCACCAGGGAAGGAAGCGCUGCCCUCCCCACCAGCUGGGCGCCCUGAUUUUAUGCACGUUUAGAAAACGAGUAAACAAUUUCAAAGGGCAGCACGAAGCGUGCCAUAAAGCCAAGCGCCCCUAAAACCGCCUGAAUGAGCAGCAGCGAGGGAGGAGCCCUGCAUCCGCAGCGGCAACACGCGGCCAGCAAAUGCGCCCGGCAGAGUCGGAGCUCGGCGCCCGCAAGCACGCAGCCCUCGUCCGCAGUCCGCGCUCAGCCUCGCCCUGGAAGCCCACCCACGGCAGCUCCACACGCCGGCGCGUCCAGGCCGGGGAACGGGGACAACAGCCUGGCCACUGGGGCCCAGCGGGGGCGAGGCCACGCGAUCGCCAGGAGGCCGGCCCGGCCCCGGCAGGAUGAACGCGGGCCGGGACGCAGUGGCCCAGCCCGCGAGGGGUCGACGGUCCACCGGGCCU